CCUACGGGGUGCUGCAGUGGGGAAUAUUGGACAAUGGGCGAAAGCCUGAUCCAGCCAUGCCGCGUGUGUGAAGAAGGCCUUCGGGUUGUAAAGCACUUUCAGUGGGGAAGAAAGCCUUGGGGCUAAUACCCUCGAGGAAGGACAUCACCCACAGAAGAAGCACCGGCUAACUCCGUGCCAGCAGCCGCGGUAAUACGGAGGGUGCGAGCGUUAAUCGGAAUUACUGGGCGUAAAGCGCGCGUAGGCGGUCUGAUAAGCCGGUUGUGAAAGCCCCGGGCUCAACCUGGGAACGACAUCCGGAACUGUCAGGCUAGAGUGCAGGAGAGGAAGGUAGAAUUCCCGGUGUAGCGGUGAAAUGCGUAGAGAUCGGGAGGAAUACCAGUGGCGAAGGCGGCCUUCUGGACUGACACUGACGCUGAGGUGCGAAAGCGUGGGUAGCAAACAGGAUUAGAUACCCUGUAGUC
Molecule: ribosomal RNA, 464 nt
Filed under: Vreelandella stevensii
Lineage: Bacteria; Pseudomonadati; Pseudomonadota; Gammaproteobacteria; Oceanospirillales; Halomonadaceae
Description: partial 16S ribosomal RNA
Rfam family: Bacterial small subunit ribosomal RNA
Source: RNAcentral